This 806-nucleotide ribosomal RNA is filed under the name uncultured crenarchaeote. RNAcentral describes it as "bacterial SSU rRNA". It matches the Rfam family "Archaeal small subunit ribosomal RNA", at positions 435 to 1237 of the family's 1478-position model. The record is from RNAcentral. Lineage: Archaea; Thermoproteati; Thermoproteota.
AUAAGGGGUGGGCAAGUCUGGUGUCAGCCGACGCGGUAAUACCAGCACCCCGAGUGGUCGGGACGAUUAUUGGGCCUAAAGCAUCCGUAGCCGGUUUUGCAAGUCUUCCGUUAAAUCCACCUGCUUAACAGAUGGGCUGCGGAGGAUACUACAAGGCUAGGGGGCGGGAGAGGCAAGCGGUACUCAGUGGGUAGGGGUAAAAUCCUCUGAUCCAUUGAAGACCACCAGUGGCGAAGGCGGCUUGCCAGAACGCGCUCGACGGUGAGGGAUGAAAUCUGGGGGAGCAAACCGGAUUAGAUACCCGGGUAGUCCCAGCUGUAAACGAUGCAGACUCGGUGAUGGGCCGGCUUUAUGCCAGCUCAGUGCCGCAGGGGAAGCCGUUAAGUCUGCCGCCUGGGGAGUACGGUCGCAAGACUGAAACUUAAAAGGGAAUUGGCGGGGGAGCACCACAAGGGGUGAAGCCUGCGGUUCAAUUGGAGUCAACGCCGGAAAUCUUACCGGGGGCGACAGCAGAGUGAAGGUCAAGCUGAAGACUUUACCAGACAAGCUGAGAGGAGGUGCAUGGCCGUCGCCAGCUCGUGCCGUGAGGUGUCCUGUUAAGUCAGGUAACGAGCGAGAUCCCUGCUUUUAGUUGCUACCACUACUCUCAGGAGGAGUGGGGCUAAUUAAAAGGACUGCCGCCGCUAAGGCGGAGGAAGGAGGGGGCUACGGCAGGUCAGUAUGCCCCGAAACCCUCGGGCCACACGCGGGCUGCAAUGGUAAGGACAAUGGGUUCCGAUUCCGAAAGGAGGAGGCAAUCCCUAAAC